CCUUGUACACACCGCCCGUCACACCAUGGGAGUCGUUUGCUCCAGAAGUGGCUAUGCCAACCCGACGAAGGGAGGUAGGUCCCAAGGAGUGAACGGUAACUGGGGUG
This 107-nucleotide ribosomal RNA is filed under the name uncultured bacterium. RNAcentral describes it as "partial 16S ribosomal RNA". It matches the Rfam family "Bacterial small subunit ribosomal RNA", at positions 1379 to 1482 of the family's 1533-position model. The record is from RNAcentral.